RNAcentral lists this ribosomal RNA (503 nucleotides) under uncultured bacterium. Its description in RNAcentral is "partial 16S ribosomal RNA". It matches the Rfam family "Bacterial small subunit ribosomal RNA", at positions 30 to 523 of the family's 1533-position model. The record is from RNAcentral.
AUUGAACGCUGGCGGCAGGCUUAACACAUGCAAGUCGAGCGGGGUGAUGGUGCUUGCACUAUCACUUAGCGGCAGACGGGUGAGUAAUGCUUAGGAAUCUGCUUAUUAGUGGGGGACAACAUCUCGAGAGGGAUGCUAAUACCGCAUACGUCCUACGGGAGAAAGCAGGGGAUCACUUGUGACCUUGCGCUAAUAGAUGAGCCUAAGUCGGAUUAGCUAGUUGGUGGGGUAAAGGCCUACCAAGGCGACGAUCUGUAGCGGGUCUGAGAGGAUGAUCCGCCACACUGGGACUGAGACACGGCCCAGACUCCUACGGGAGGCAGCAGUGGGGAAUAUUGGACAAUGGGGGGAACCCUGAUCCAGCCAUGCCGCGUGUAUGAAGAAGGCCUUAUGGUUGUAAAGCACUUUAAGCGAGGAGGAGGCUCUUUUGGUUAAUACCCAAGAUGAGUGGACGUUACUCGCAGAAUAAGCACCGGCUAACUCUGUGCCAGCCGCCGCCGUAA